This 219-nucleotide long non-coding RNA is filed under the name Nicotiana benthamiana. Its description in RNAcentral is "long non-coding RNA (NBEN_LNC035626)". The record is from RNAcentral. Lineage: Eukaryota; Viridiplantae; Streptophyta; Magnoliopsida; Solanales; Solanaceae.
AUGGCAUCGAGAAUACAUCUAUGGAGAUAUUGAAGAGUUAUUCCACGACAUUAUAUGAAGAUGUUCAUAUCUAUCAAGAAUGAUAAUUUCAAGGUGCGAUUUUAUUCAAAUCAAUAUGGCUGAUUUAUUUAUCAAAUCUCUAUCAAAGGUCGUUUUGAAGAUGAUGCACAAGAUUGGAAUACAAAUGCUAAAGGAUGUCAGUUGAUGCUCUAUUCAGGG